This 6556-nucleotide long non-coding RNA is filed under the name Coffea arabica (coffee). RNAcentral describes it as "long non-coding RNA (CARA_LNC006685)". The record is from RNAcentral. Lineage: Eukaryota; Viridiplantae; Streptophyta; Magnoliopsida; Gentianales; Rubiaceae.
UUUUUUUUUUUUUUUUUGUGUCGGAUAUAUCUCUUGAGGUAAUUUGCAGCAGCAUCACUAAUGGAAUCACUUUGGAUGAUGAUUCAAGUAUUUGGAUGAAAAUGCUGUGAUUAUUGACGUGAUUUGCUCAAUCAUCUUAGGACUUUUUUCCAGUGCCUCACUACUGGCUUUUUAUUUCUUGCAUGAACUCAAUUUUGGGGCUGAAGAUCCCAGUAGGCAGUAGCAUGCCUCAAGUUUUUUGCAAGGUAUCUCCUAGCAUCAAGGAAUUGUUAAAUCUUUUCUUCAAUAACCUUUUUUUUUUUUUCUUUUCCAUAAUUUUGUUAUAGUAGUUACUUCACCUUCCUUUGUUCAUUUUAAUUCAAUUUUGUGGCUGGCUGGUCGCCAUCAGGGGGAAGGGGAUUGACACAGAUCCAAUUUCCAAACACCAAAAAAAAAAAAAAAAGGGGCGAUCCGGUUUCAAGAUUGAGGAGUGGUUGGCCCAGUCGCGUAAAUUGUAUGAUGGCAGAUGCAAGAAGAAGAGGUGGAGGGAGGGCUUUAAAUUACAGAAAAGUGAAGCAAUUGCUUAUCAAUAGUUAUACAAUGAUUGCAGAAGGAAAGGAAGACCCAAAAAAAAAAAAAAAAAAAAUCAAUUUUAGUAAGUUACGCUUGUCUUCAGGGUUGUUGGAGUUGGAGUUGGGCACAGUUUUAAAUAAUGCUGCUUGCUAAUUAACUAGUAAUCCUGAUGAAGUAUGUAAUGGCCAUAUAUAUGUAUGUAUGUAUAGUAUUUUACCUAUCAAGUAUUAGUUGAUGAAGUCAUGAAAGAUGCCAAUUAUCCAAAAUGGUUGACUAUUGCAUGCAGUACAGCUAGCCAGGCCGGUGAAAAUGAAGUACCACCAACAUUGGCUGUCAAGCAAUAUUUGGUGAACGGUAUAAAAGAUGUUUAUACAACAAGAUUAGAAAGAAAAAAGAAAGUAAUUAACAGUCAAAUUUGAGAAUCGAAUAGCACAGCCCUUUUUUUUUUUUUUUUACUUUUAGAUUAUGAAUUUUGAGGUCAGAUUUGUGUUAUAAAGCGGUGGGUGGAUUCGGUCAAGAACAACAGUCAAGAACCAUUGCAAAAAUUCAUACGCUGUUUUGAUUUUGGUAAGCAAUCAAGCAAGGUUGGUUGCUGAUUUGCAUUCAUUGUUCCAUCCUCUCUUCUUAAUUCUGAGCCUUUCUCUCAUCAAACACAUACACUAACUGGUUGCAAGAAACGGUGUGCAAUUUUGUGAUCAACUUGUACGUCUUCAAAGUCCAAAGCCGUCACCAAACCAAUCAUAUAUAUAUAUUAUAUGCAGAUAAUAACAUUCCCAAGUGGAGCAUGCUCAGACAUGUACAGAGUCAUACUUUCUGGCCAACACCUAAUUAAGAGCUUUCCAAAUAUGGACCCCUAAUAUGAGGGGAACAGACAAGGGACGCCGUGUUUCACUACGGAAGCUUUUAAGUUCCCCGUUACUACAACUAGCUACUUCCACAAUUUGGAACAUGCAAACAAAACCCUCUUGGGAGUUCGAGUACAAAGCAUGAUUAGUUGCGCUCGAUCUACUUUCUUUAUUUCGUAAGGUUGGCAUUCCUCUUUUUUUCGCAGUACCACUGACUUUUCUUGCUUUCAAUGGGAACCACGUACCUGGACAUUCUUCACAUUCUUUCCUCAAUGCUAAGCAAUAUAUGUAAUACCUGCGCCUCGCGCCUUGUGAUAUUUUUGGUGUCAUUCACUAGACAAAGCAUCCUGUGAUGGCGAUCUAACGACAAGUCGCCCAACAAAGAAUAAAUUCCAUUCAACUUCUUACACUAAAGUUUCUUUACAUUUCUGUACUCCUUUUCCAAAUUCCAAUUGUCUUUCGCUAUCAUCUUGCUGAUUCCUUUUUUUUUUUUUUUUUUAAAAAAAUUAAAGGCCUUUUUUUUUCGUGUGUUAGGUACUAGUGAUACUGCCCACAGCUCUCACAAUAAAACAUGAACUAAAACAAAGUGAUCGAAGUUCGAAUUUGAAGUAAAUUAACGGAUGCCACCGGUGCGAUCUUUGUCUUAUUAAUCACCGCCUCAAGGAAGGAUGGACGUACAAUUCUUGGUUAGAUUUUCGCUUUAAUUUUAGUGUCUACUUUGCUUUCAUCUGGGUUUGCCGCCGGGAAUGUUGCAUCGUGGUGGAUGGAAAAUUAUGAGAUAUACGCUCAACAAUUAAUCCAUAUAUGAUCGAUCAUCCAACACAUAAGUGGCGCGCAUUAAAUAUCUGUCGAAGACAAAUUAAACUAACUUGAAAGGUUCAAAAGCUGCGGCUGGUGGGAAGGUAAAGUAACAGUUGUGGGGACGAGAACAGCUUUUGAAAUAGAAUUUGUUGCAGUUUAGGCAGCAAACACGGCUUGAAUUCCUUAAAACAAGACUUAUUCUACUGCUGAUGACGUUGACUUGUCCACUCCAAUGCUAUGAUUUAGUCUUCUUCAUUGACAUUAAUCCCCACAACAAUAACAUCGUCGGUAGUCUCCAACAAAGACUGCAUGUCGUUCAAUCAUACCACCAAAAAUCCCUUGAUCAAACCCUGAAAAUCCAUUCGAACUCGGGCUAGCUACUAGAUAUUGCUUCUUCUACUCUCCCUGAUAUAAAAUGCGCUUAAUAAAUUAAUUAUGCUGUUCUCACCGAAAUUCUUUAGCAAAUUUAGCUUUGCUGCAUGGAAUCUAACGAGAUUACACUGAAUGUGCCCUUACCGAACAGCUAGCAUCAUGAUAGUUUGAUGAUGGUCGGAUUUUUGUGUAGUUGAACCUCGAGUUUUCCCUCCCUCAAUGAGUUUUUCACUUUCUUGUCCUAAAUCUUGACGUGGAAUUAAAUAGGCAAGGGUAUAGGGUUUUUUGUUUUUGUUUUUGUUUUUUUUUUGGCCCCCUCCAACGCCAUCUGAUUAAGAAAGGAAAAAUGACAAAGUGCAGCAGUAGUCUGUAGCCAUGUAAAACAGAUACUAGCUAUAUGUUAUGUGGCCACUAAUAUCAAACCAUUUUGAAAGCCAGUGAAUAGUAGAUAUAACAUAAGUGAAAUGACAAACUGGAGCGACAUGCAUUUCGACAUAUGAGCUUUUCUUAACAAUAAAUGUUCCCCUCAAAGCUGUAAUAGAACUGUUAUCCAUCACCGUUAGAGCAACUGGCCGGUGUUCUUCCUCUUUUCUUUUAGCCUGUUGUUUCUUAAAUGGAGUACAAAUCGAACGCAUACGCUAAUAUGUUUAAACAGCAUUAUGAGUCCAUAUCACAAGAUAUAUAGAUCGUCAGUUAACUUCUGAGUAGCUUCCAAGAAGGCAUGACAAAGGGUUGAGGUAAUAAAAUAAAAACAAUUUUAACUCUUACGAUUAGGGGUGUGCAAAAUCGAAAAAUUCCGAUUUACCGACCGAAUUCGAAUUGAAUUCGGAAUUUUCGAAAUCGGUAAAUCGGAAAUCGGAAUCGAAUUCGGAUUUUCCGAAUUCAUAUAUUUCGAAUUUGGUUCGAAUUCGGUAAUGGAGUUUUUCAAAUCGGAAUUCGAAUUCCGAUUUCGAUUUCAAAUUCUUUUUUAAUAUAUAAAUAUAUUUUUUAUACAUGUAAUAUAAAAUUUAUACUAUAUAAUAUUUUAUAAAAUUUAUAAAAUAUAAUAUAAUAUAAUAUAAAAUUUAUAAAAUUUAUAUAUUAUUAUAUAUUAUUAUAAAUUUUAUAUUAUAUAAUAAUAUAUAAAUUUUUCCGAAUUCGGUGAAAUCGGUGAAAUCGGAAUUUACCGAAUUCCGAAUUGAAUUCGGUACGAAUUCGAAUUCGGAAUUGGUGAAUUCGAAAUCAAAUUCGGUCGAAUUACCAGGUACCAAAAUUUCGAAAAAUUCCGAAUUCAAACUUCCGAAUUACCGAAUUCGAAUUCGAUGCACACCCCUAUUUACGAUUGAGCAUCUUUUCAUUUGAUAUCCCGGAUUUCACACUUCAUGAAAUUGCUACCUGUUACCGAAAUAAGACAAUCAGAAGGAUAAUACUAGCUAGGGAUGUAAUUGAGUCGAGCCCGAGUCAAGUUUUUGACUGAAUUGCUCGUGAGCAGUUUGAUUACAGCACUAGAUAAAACUAUUACUCCCUCCGUCCCACUUUGUUAGUCUUGUUUUCCUUUUUCGUCCGUCCCAAAUUGUAGUCCACUUUUCCAUUAAGAAAUGUAGUAAUCUUUCAAAUUGUCUAAAAUACCCUUAUUAAAUAUAUUGUUAUUAAUACAUUGUUAUUAAAUACUAACCCACUACAUUGAAUACAUUGAGUUUUUCCAAUACAUUGAAUACAUUGACUACAUUGAUUAGCAUAAGGGUAUUUUAGGAAAUUAUUAAUCUAAAUUUAUGUUUCCAACCAAAUUAAUUACACUUUCUUAAUCUGUGUGAAAAAAAAACCAAGACUAACAAAACGGGACGGAGGGAGUACAAGAUUUAUGUACAUGCUGCUACCAGAACUCAAAUUAGACAGAUUGAUGUACAAUAGUAUGUAUCAAGAGAAGGAAUACAAUUUAGCCAAAUUGCUUGUGCUGUUCCGAGCUGCAAAAAGAUUAUGCACUACGUACUAUAUUAUAUUUCCGAAGUACUUUAGUCAUAAAUUUUUGCUUGUGCUUUAGUUUCAAACAAAGUUUAAAGACCAAAUUUGGGGGAUGGGAUAGACUCAACAAAUCCGACGGUAUUGAGGGGAUAUUAAACCAUCAUCAUUUCAGAUUCCCGGGCUUUUGGUCCUGAGAUGGGAUUUAUAAAUUGGGGAUUUAUAAAUUAUAAUCCGGAGAGUAAAUGAUUGGUGUGUAUUAAAUUUAUAUGAAAUGAUGGACAAGUACAACGUUUGGUUUUAGUGCUCCCACAGACAGAAAAACAACGCAAGGAAAAGUGAAAAAGAGAGUCUACCAAUUAAACAAAACAGGACGACAACUCACUCUUUCAUUUAUUUUGUUCCAAAACUUGCACACAAUUGGACAAGAGCAAGCAGCUGCUAGAUCGUAUGGUUAGGACCCCCCCCCCCCCCUCAUCCAUCCAUCCAUCCAUCCAUCAAUGACAAAAUCUUACUAAUAAAUUUCCACUUAAAUCACUCCCAACCCCAACACAACUCCCCCCACUGUGCAAUCCAGCAGAUGGGCUCUAGCAACUACCGGCCUACUUCCUUCGUUCAUUCAUAGUAUUUUAUUCUUUGGCUGCCCAAAUUAACAUAUGAGAAAAGUUUUAUAUAUUGUAUAAAUAAAUUUGUAGAUAGAUGGUCAAUUAGUCAUGGCGUUGGAAUUGGCUGGAACCCAAAAUAAUGGAAACGCCUCUAGGAGCAAGUUCUGUGGUCAUUUAUGCAUGCCCUUUUUCUUGUUCUAUAUUUUUUUUUUCUUCCAAAAAAUGGAGCUGCAUUUGCAUAAUUCUUUUUUUCCCUUUUUAGGUCUCUUAAAAUGGAAUGGCAUCCCAUGGAAGCAGUCUAGAAAUCUGACUAGUCAAGAGAGGAGGGCAUUAAUGAUUAAUCCCAUGACCUACGGGUCAAUGACAAUAGUACAUAUAGGACAGGGAAUUAUGUCCAAUUAAUUGGAUGGAAGGAGUCAAGAAAUUCCAUUCGUCGAUGCAGAAGUGCUUUGAUCCGUUGACCUAUAGUUCAAUAAUAACAAUAAUUUUAUUCAAAAAAAAAUUAUGUCGAAUUAACUGGGAACAUAAUAGAUUUAUUGACGCCAAAUUUGUUUUAGUCGUGGUUUAAAUUUACAUUGAAAACAUUCAUUCAGGGCAUUAUUAUCUUGAUAUGUUGUUGUACAUGGUUUGUUUAUUUAAUACAAUAUGCGAACUAGUUGGAUCCGCAAUUAAUUAAGUGUUUAUUCAAUUAUCGGUCAGCAUUUCAAACGACACACGCUCGGUAGUAACUUUUUAUCACACUUCACUAUUCUUUCGGAAGCGACCGGUGUUAUGUUCCACGGAAAGCAUUCUCUCCGACCAUCCCAAUUCCCUAUUCCAAGGGUAAAAGGUAAAUAUAGUACUCCCUCCGUCCCACCUUGAUAGUUCUGUAUUUCUUUUUCAUCUGUCCCAAAUUAUAGUCCACUUUCCAAUUGACGAAUAUAGUUGUAUUUUAAUUUUUCUAAAAUACCCUUAUUCAAUGUAAGUAGUUGUUACUAUAAACCUAUCCCAUUUAAUGAGAGUUGAUUCUUUUGUACCAUCCAUUCAAGUUCCCAUAAAAUUGUACCAUAUUUAAUAUGAGGGUAUUUUAGGAAAAUAGCAAUCUAAAUUUACAUUUCCAACAAAAUUAACUACUUUUUCUUAAACUGUGUGAAAAAAUAAACAGGACUAUCAAAGUGGGACGGAGGGAGUAGUAAUAUAUGUAUAUAUAUAAUUACAAGUAAAAGUAAAAAGAAUGGUAGCGGUGCCAAGAAAGCACGCAAUUAAUUGAAAUUACACUCUUUUAAAUGCCUAAAAGUAGACGAAAAGUGCCUUUUCCUAGACAAGAUUACAAGCUUUUAAAGGGUUGAUGAUUGAUGAUGCAUCAAUAUUUAGUUUAGUAACUAUCAUUACAUUUAGAUAGUAUGAUUGACAAAUUAUCAUUCGAUCAUCACAACAAUCGAGUAGUAGCUAUUAUUAGUUACU